UCCAAUGAAGCAUAUGUGACCACCAGAAGCAAAUAAGUAAAGCUGAAAACUAAAAUUUACAUGUAUGAACUGACAAACUAUUUGCAUAUGUGACUGAUUAACACGGGAUGGUGAGAGUGGAUAAGUUUGUGAAUCUCAAGUUUUAGAUCUGAAUAUGCAGAAGUGUAGAUUCUCAUGCUUGUUACUGUAGGCACAUUUUCAUCGGGAAGCAGUGAGGUAUCGACUGAGUUCAUUGCUUUUUUUCUUGCAUUACUGUUUCCUGGUGCUCUGGUGGCUUUGAAUCAUGAGUUGCUUGAGGAGUGGCAAAAAUUUACUGCGCUUCGUGUGUACUGGGCUGGCGUUUGCACAAUGCUGUGAGUUGUGCAGUUUGCGGACUGGUGUUAUUCCUUCUGCCCUCGAUCUUGUGUCCCCUUUACAUACAUGGUGAAAGCCCCAUGGUUUUGGAUGUACCUUCUACCUCUCCUUUGUCUGGCUAUCUGUCUCCUGGUGAUGCAAUCGUAUCUUUGGACGGCAAACGAAUCCAUAAUGAACAAGAUUGGAUGGAGAUCACUGCUCUAAUAGACGAACAGACACUACAAAGUUCAAAUCUUUCAAAAAGUUUUGAAGGUCAUGCAACGGUUCAUCGGUUCAUCGAAUGAAGGGUUACUGUGUCCCUACUUUUAUGGUAGAAGAAAUCAGCAGGACUUUUUUCAUAGACAAUCAAUCUGCCUGCCCUGACGACCUUGCUGAAUUUGUGGCCAUUCAAUGCUUCGAUCCAAGAAAAUCAGAUGAUGUCAAUAUUGAAGAUGGUUUAAGCAGAAGACAGCGUAGGCACUGCUUGAAUGCUAAGGAUGUUGUCAAGCUCAAUAAAUGUGGUGACGGGCGAGUGACAGAAAUAACCGAAGGAAGGCAUUACCUGAAUCAAAACCCUUUGAGGUCAAGCCUCAAUGCCAUAAUUUCUUCUACCUUUAGCUGGAUUUUCUUAUUUGUUAUCUUUUUUCCUUAAUGGCCACUGUGUGGUGAAAAAUUGCACAAGGCUGUUGCCUUUGUUUAACAUUAGUUUGAAAGAAAAUGUAGUGAUUUACUUUCAGCCGCAACUUCAUUCAUUUUUGGCAUCGUCUUUGGGGGGACUACUGCUCCUGUUCCACUACCAGGGUCCAGAAUGCAUGAAACCAGGAAGAAAUUCAUUUCCAGCUUCUGAAGCUUCAGACUUUUCAGAGCAUAAAUGUGGUGGGACUUUUGUUCUUGUUGGUGAUCUGAUCUCGAUGCCGCACUCAGUUAAGUUAACGGCAUAUCAACCUUGUUGGGCAUAUGCUUUUUCUGUGUACAUCUUCCUAAUGCUUCGGGAAAGAGCUUAAUGUGCACGUUCCACGUCUCUCUUACACUAGCCAUCCUCAAUAGUUCGCCGGUAUACUUUUUGGAUGGCGAAUCAAUUUUGGAGGUUGCUCUCUGCCACUUCACAUCAUUGAGCCCAAGGAAAAGGGUAAAAGAUAUGCGAGCCUGUCUUCUAGGAAGGACUCUCACUUCCACACUAGCCUUUAUGAGGAUCUUCUUCAAGUUUUGGUAACCAACAGGUAAGCAGUAUUAUCUGUUGGCCUUCUUGAUUUGUAAACUGCCAUUCUAAGGUUAAGGAGUUACAGGUUUGAGUUACAAUCCUAUAAUUCAUAGAAUGUCCGCUACCCUCCUUUGGACGACGUAUGGAUUGCAGAAAUAUAAGUUGUAACAGACUCUUGUUAUAAAUGCAAGUUCAUCAUAGGUUAGAUGUUCAUAUCAA
Molecule: long non-coding RNA, 1753 nt
Organism: Populus nigra (black poplar)
Lineage: Eukaryota; Viridiplantae; Streptophyta; Magnoliopsida; Malpighiales; Salicaceae
Exons: 4
Source: RefSeq, a predicted model, not a curated record